GAAGAGAAGGAUGCUGCAGUCAGGAACUCCUGGAAGUGAGCUUGGAACUGCCUUUGUCCAGAGGCUUGGAAAAAAUGAGAUUCACAGAAGAUACACCAAAAAACGUGCUGUGAAGAUUCAGGAUUACAGGGAGCAUCCAUUGCAGAAGAAAACAUUACUGAGGGAAAAAAAUUAAUAUAUUUUUAAUAACAACAACAAGAAAUACAGAUUGCUAGAGCUCGUAGUUUGGAGGUUUUUACCCCAAAAGAUUUAAUUUAUUCACCAAGCAAGUAAUGCAUGGCUAAGUAAAAAAGUAAAAACUUAUGAUUUACAGUGCACUGUCCAGCAGUCUCAAUGAUCUCAAGCUGCACCCGGAAAGGGUCAGUUUGGAUAUCGGGCAAAAUUUCUUCACUGGAAAAAUGAAAGAAAGAGUGAAACCCCCCCCAUCUAAAAGAUAAAAGGCCAUCAAACCAAUAAUCUCUCUUAAUUUUCUGUCAACCAUCCUGUCAUCAGCAUUUAGUUUUUCACUGUGGAAUCUUUUCCUUCUUCCCUGUUAGAAUUUAAAUUGAUUUGUCUCUACACAGAGCAGCCCUAUUUCACCUUCUUUUUUUCCUGUUAACAUAAAUACAGCAGUCAUAGGAAUUGUUUUUUAUUUGUUUUGAUGUCAUUGUGCUGGAGGCUGGAGUUCUGAAUUAUCAAAUACUUAGUCUGGAUCAACAGAAGACUGAGAUACAUUAGGAAGGGUUAAAUGUGUUUUCACUGUUGGACUCAAAUCCAGGCCUCUGUCUGGGACACCCUGGGAAUCGGUGCUCUAAAAUAUCUGGAUGUCACAGAGAUCCUUAAUGUUUUACUUUCUUUUCCAGUUUUCUUGUUCUUUCCAUUCUGAAUUUGAAUCUACAGCCAACACUGCAAUGGGGUAAUUGCAACAAACUGUUGAAAUGUCACUGUGUCUUCUCUUUAUGGAAACUUUUACAUUUUUGUCCUUCUAAAAAUGGUGAAUGAUGCUUUGGUACUGAGUUUUAAGAUACAGAGCUCAUUUUAGUGUGUCCUCCUCAUCCUAGAAAUCCAUGUAAAUCAUUACAAUCUUGACAUUUGUGUGUAAGGUCUGUGUCCUAUAAACUAUUAAUGAAACAUCUGAGGUCUGGAAUAUAUAAACUGGAGAUUUAACUGGACUUUAAGAUCUUUUGAUUAAAAAU
Molecule: long non-coding RNA, 1175 nt
Filed under: Junco hyemalis (dark-eyed junco)
Lineage: Eukaryota; Metazoa; Chordata; Aves; Passeriformes; Passerellidae
Description: lncRNA (ENSJHYG00000015687.1)
Source: RNAcentral